CGCGCGCCGGACGCCCGGUGACCGGUCGGGUUGGCUCCGGGCUGCGCGGCGAAGAACCAGCCAGGCGGCACGGGUUCCGGAGGCCCACGGGGUGGUGUCGCUUUGCGGCCACUACACACACUACCGGCACCUGCCGUGCGCCAGAUGAAGAAACUGAAGGGUAGAGAAACCAGAGACGUUUAUCCCGGUGCACACACAAGGCUUCACACCCACUUAUGUCUGAUUCCAGAAUGACCUCCACCACUAAGUCACAGCAGUGUAAGAGGUACUUUCUCUCCCAACCUUGAGCAAACUGAGAGGAAUUUCAGCAGCCAGAAAGUCUCCAUAAAUGCUGAUCAUGAAGAGCUGAGACAGAAUGCCACACCACUGCAGGUGGAUACUGGGAACACUGAGGGAGCACGCCCAGGAAGAAGGGAGAAGAGGUCUGCUUCCAAGUCUCUCCCUAAGUGUGUGAAAGGCAUUGAGAAUGAGGGACAUGCCAAAAGAGAAUUCUUUUUUAAUAUAAUUAUUUUUAAUAUAUGUAAUUUUUCUAUCUUAAGAUCAAGGACUCUAUUAUCAUUUGAAAGGCAGGGAGACAGAGACAGAAAAAGACACACACACACACACACAUACUCUCUCUCUCUCUCUCUCUGAACCACCACCUGUUGGUUCACUCCCCAAACACGUGAAAGAGCCAGGGCUGGGCCAGGCUGAAGCUGGGAGCCUAGAACUCAACCUGGGUCUCUCAUGUGUGUGGCAGGGACCCAACUACUUGAACCAUCAUCUGCUGCCUCCCACAGCACACAAUAACAGAAAGCUGGAAUUAGAUAUGGAGCCAGGACUUGAACCUGCAGACAUCCCAGACCAAAUGUUAACGUCUACACCAAAGACUUACCCCCAAAGAAGAUUCUUAAAGUUCCUCUGUGCAUUAAAAAUAAUACCACCAAUGUUCCUGGUGUUUCCACAAAAGCCAGAGUAAAUCUGUGUAAUCAACUGAUGACAAAGCCUGCAUAUCUGCCUUGAACCCUUAACCCCCAGCUUUUCUCACAAGACCUUCCCUGUGGUCCUUGCAGUUCCUUGAAUGCCCCCUUGGACACACUUCAGAGCCCUGAUUUCCUCGUCGUUCAUUUGGCUCCCACCAACGGACAGUUCAACUCCCAGCCUAAGGUCAUUUUUCUGGGAUACAUUUUCCACUCCACUUCCCGGAUCAGCAUAAGCCCCACAUGUUAUAUAAUUUUCCUCCAUAGGUUUUAUCAAUUCUAAUUACAAGUGUAUCAAUAAUUAAAUAUUUCAUCAUUAUAGAAUUCUAGGCUUAUAUGUGUACAUUCUCUAAGGGAAAGGAUUGUGUCCAUUUUAUUCAUCAAUGUCUCAGCAGUACCUAACACAAUGGCUAGCACCUGCUGAAUCCUAAAAAGUUAUUUCAUGAGUGAAUGAAUGAAUGGAAAUGUAUUCAGUUUAAAAUGAAGUCAAAACUUCAAAAAAAUGGGAAGUGCUCUCAUAGAAGCAUUUUACCAUAGAAGAAAGCAUAUUUUUGGAUCAACAGAUCAAAAAGUACUUGACAACCAAAGAGCUAACACACGUUGCUUAGCUGUAGUCAGAACGCCUACAGCUGUGUGCAGAGGAGAGCACCCUUGCACAGGAAAGCAAAGUGUCUUACCCAGUGUUAGUUUCAGUGUUCUUUCUUCCAUAGAGACUCAGGCGAAAUGCAGGACAUCUCCUGCUGGUUUUCCCUUGAAAACUGUGGCCUCCUUGACAGUCGGUUUUCACAUUUCAAUCUCAGGAAGGCCAGAACUUCAGCAUGUUGGGACCAGGUUUCUUAGAGCUAUGCAUGUGGGUAUCGGUGACUGAUUCUCAUAGGCCCUGACGCCUCUUGUUAGGUUAACUCACCAGGUGCUAGAAAUGGCCCAGCUGUUCUUCACGCCCCUGGCCUAGGUUGCCCGUCCCAGCCAGCUGUAUGACAAGCACCUGGGAGGAGCUGUAGGCGGGAUCAUCCAAUCUCCUACACUCAACAAACCAUGUAGAUUCUAUUCCUCUUCUCAUGCUCAUUGCCCCACCUUGGCUUAGAGCUGAGUGAAAACGCUUCUGUAAAUUGCCAAAUAUUUAAGGAGUCAAGAAUAACUAAAAGUAAUAGCGUGCUACUUUAUUUAUUCCCAUUUAGAGAAUGAGAUGAGUAAUUAUGAUCUCUUAAACAU
This is a non-coding RNA of Oryctolagus cuniculus (rabbit), 2171 nucleotides long. NCBI's taxonomy places the organism in Eukaryota, Metazoa, Chordata, Mammalia, Lagomorpha, Leporidae. The record is from RefSeq and is a predicted model, not a curated record.